Molecule: non-coding RNA, 23 nt
Filed under: Cricetulus griseus (Chinese hamster)
Lineage: Eukaryota; Metazoa; Chordata; Mammalia; Rodentia; Cricetidae
Source: RNAcentral
GACAGGAGUCGAAGGACUAGAAU